This 73-nucleotide transfer RNA is filed under the name Uromyces viciae-fabae. RNAcentral's name for it is "tRNA-Tyr (GTA) (tRNA-Tyr-GTA-1 1 to 3)". It matches the Rfam family "tRNA". Rfam says of the family: Transfer RNA (tRNA) molecules are approximately 80 nucleotides in length. Lineage: Eukaryota; Fungi; Basidiomycota; Pucciniomycetes; Pucciniales; Pucciniaceae. RNAcentral also lists the same sequence under 3 other names. The record is from RNAcentral.
CCCCCGAUAGCUCAGUUGGAAGAGCGCGAGACUGUAAAUCUUGAGGUCGCUGGUUCGAUCCCGGCUCGGGGGA